CACGUAGGCGGUUAUGUAAGUCGGAUGUGAAAGCCCUGGGCUUAACCUGGGAACUGCAUUCGAAACUGCACAGCUAGAGUAUGGGAGAGGGAAGCGGAAUUUCCGGUGUAGCGGUGAAAUGCGUAGAUAUCGGAAGGAACACCAAUGGCGAAGGCAGCUUCCUGGCCUAAUACUGACGCUCAGGUGCGAAAGCGUGGGGAUCAAACA
RNAcentral lists this ribosomal RNA (207 nucleotides) under uncultured bacterium. RNAcentral's name for it is "partial 16S ribosomal RNA". It matches the Rfam family "Bacterial small subunit ribosomal RNA", at positions 568 to 774 of the family's 1533-position model. The record is from RNAcentral.